CACGAGCGGAGCCGCUGUGCGAAGGAGCGCAGGCGGGAAAGGGCAAAGGCGAGGGAAGGCGCGAAUCCUAGCCAACUAAAGCCUCUGCGGAGGAGGGAGCCCCUCCCCCAAAUACGGUAGGACUAGGUACGAAUCAGUUAAUAGUAAGCUUAAGGAGGCUCCCUACAGUAGCAUGCGGGAUGUUCGCUGGACCAGUACGUGGGCUAUCCCACGCAACCGCGCACGAUCAGAACAAAACAAAAAUUGACCGGGCUCUUUUUUUAAACAAGCUAUUUCUGAAAGGUUUUUAAUGAAACAAAGCGUUGAAUAAUCCUUCGUUUUGAGUGCCAAAUCAAUUGCGAGUCUAUACAGCAAUUAUGCAUA
This is a non-coding RNA of Paramuricea clavata, 363 nucleotides long. The record is from the annotation of a GenBank genome assembly. Lineage: Eukaryota; Metazoa; Cnidaria; Anthozoa; Malacalcyonacea; Plexauridae.